CUUAGUGAAGCUUCGGAAAGAAGGCUUAGAUGCUAAUGAGAAGAUCAAGAGAUAUAUGUGUGUCUAGUUAUUCAUCUCAAGCAGUGAGACAAGCCCUUGUGAAAUAUCUUAUGGUGGAUCUCGCUUGGCUUUGCAAUCACCCAGGCUCUUAUUCUCUCUUGUUAUUCACUUCCCUAUUCUAUAUAUGCAGCUAGCCACAGGUAAUCAUGAGAGGAGACAUCCGUUUCAUGUUCUUAGUCUUAAGAGUUCUUCUUUUAGGAAUUCUAUUGAGUUUUUUAACUAUAGUUUCUGUAAUGUUGUAUCUAGGAUAUAGAGAUGUGAGAUAUCAGUUCUAGAAACUCAGGCAUUGUAAUUGUUUUCUAAUUGGGAGAUUUGAAGCGCAAAUUUUGUUAUUGAUGA
Molecule: long non-coding RNA, 399 nt
Organism: Salvia miltiorrhiza (redroot sage)
Lineage: Eukaryota; Viridiplantae; Streptophyta; Magnoliopsida; Lamiales; Lamiaceae
Exons: 2
Source: RefSeq, a predicted model, not a curated record